AGAGUUUGAUUCUGGCUCAGGAUGAACGCUAGCUACAGGCUUAACACAUGCAAGUCGAGCGGAACUGCUUCGGCAGUUUAGCGGCAGACGGGUGAGUAACACGUAUCCAACCUUCCCCUUACUCGGGUAUAGCCUCGGGAAACUGAGAGUAAUCCCCGAUGUGGUGUACGCUUCGCAUGUAAUGCACACCAAAGAUUAAUCGGUAAGGGAUGGGGAUGCGUUCCAUUAGCUAGUAGGCGGGGUAACGGCCCACCUAGGCGAUGAUGGAUAGGGGUUCUGAGAGGAAGGUCCCCCACAUUGGAACUGCGACACGGUCCAAACUCCUACGGGAGGCAGCAGUGAGGAAUAUUGGUCAAUGGCCGAGAGGCUGAACCAGCCCAAGUAGCGUGCAGGAUGACGGCCCUACGGGUUGUAAACUGCUUUUAUACGGGGAUAAAGUGAGGGACGUGUCCCUUUUUGUAGGUACCGUAUGAAUAAGGACCGGCUAAUUCCGUGCCAGCCGCGGC
Molecule: ribosomal RNA, 506 nt
Filed under: uncultured bacterium
Lineage: Bacteria
Description: bacterial SSU rRNA
Rfam family: Bacterial small subunit ribosomal RNA
Source: RNAcentral